AGGGAAAGAAAAAGAAAAUUUGUAACGUGUAAUUAAUAUACAAAAAAAGGGGAAAAAAAAAAAAGAAAUUCUUCAUUUGUUGGAAACUAAACCCGUUCUAGCAGCUGUAUAAAACUGUCAGGCAUGUUUGUUAUUUCUAUAAUCCGUCAUAAAAGGGUCACACCUAACUCUCUCUUGACCUUAAGGGUAUUGCUUGUUAGGCCUCAGGUGCGGCAAAAAGAUAAAAAGAGGAGGAGCAGAGGGGGACAAAUUUCUGUAAUGAACUGUAAAGAUUUCUGCUAUGCAGGUGCCAAGACAAAGAAAAAAAAAAGAAUUAUAUGUAAAUGUAAAAGAACUGCCAUUAUUCCUAGUGGGAGUAAAUGGUCAAAGAUAAAAACUAUUUCUUCUGUUGAGAUUUAUACCAGCUUUAUGUUCAAUUAUUCACCCAUCCUGUGAUGAGUUUUGUCACUGGUAAGGAGGUGAUGGCAGUCCUUUGAGAGUCAUAUUUUUGCUUUGUCUGUAAGAAGCACAGAGAAGAAGGUGUGAAGGAUUACUUUUCCCAAAGAAAUUUCCAAUUUGGGAUGUUUCAAUUUUUAGGUGCCUAAUUUAAGAGACUUUUAUUAUAGGUAGGUGCUCAGCAAUUUCUCAAAGUGAAGUUCCUUGUGUGACCAAAAACUCUAUUGGACAGAUGCUCAGCUAGUGCAAGCUGGUAUGGUUCAUUGGCUAAAGUUGCCCCAUUAACUCCAAACUCUACUGUCUGCAAUAGAGCUAUGGCCAGUUGCUCUAGUUGAGGUUUUGAACCUAUGAGUUUUACCAUAUCUUCUCCCUUCUCCAAGGAGACCCAAAAAACUGAAGCAACCCAAAAUCACUAGUCACUUUGGAAAAAUUCAGGCCUUAGGAACAGUACAAAGCUUUUGUCACCUUAAGAAAAGCCAGAUACAUGGAAGUUUAUUCACUUUAUUUUCUGAGGGGGGAAAAAAUUGUUUUUGCCAUUUUCACCAUAAAUGAAAGCCAGGGUUCUCCUGAAACAAAAGCCUCUUUGCCUCAAAGGAAAAAAAAAAAUCAUUAUUGCAAAAUGUCAUCAAAAUGGCCACAAAAUUAACAACACUGAAAACAAUUGGCCAACUUUCCCCAAAUUCGUAACCACAGAACAAGAAGAAAUUUGGUCCAAUGGUCAAACAUGUAAUUAACCUGCAAAAGGUUUUAUGCUAUGGAUACAUUUUUUGCUGGAUUUUUUAAAUUAUCACAGAGUGUAUCAUUACCUGCUCAGCCCAGCUUUAGGGUAACCCCCUCAAAGACAAUAUGUGGGCUGUGUUUCUCUUUAUUUCAGUUUGUUUGGGACUUAGUAAAGAGCUGCUAAGGACAAAGUGUAGAGCCUAACAAGAAAUAUAAUUCUUUAGCCUGCCUGCUUUCAGAGAAGCAGCAUUAUCCUGGCCACAAGCUGGGACUAGUCAUCAGAGAGAAACCUAAACCAAACCACUAAAUUCAGAUCUGAUUUGAUCAAGCUUGGAUCUGAACAUUGAAUUCUUAAGCUGUUUGGAUCCAAGUGUUUGGUUUGGCCAUUGUAGAGACCUAGGCUAUUGUAGAGCCUAGGGUUUAAAUGCUGAGACUUAGGCACCUAAAUUCCUUAGAUUUUUUUUUUUUUGAAACUAUGCCUAUGGAGCCAAAAGUAUUGUGCUGUUAUUUUUUUGACAGUAGCCAACUGGGGCAAUUAAAUCUGGAUUUAGAUUCAGAUUUCAGUGUAAGACUGGUUCAGGCCUGUCUCUACUGUGUAUCAACAAUGAGAGGAAAGAAUUGGAUACCUUUAAAGGUAUAAGCUCACUAAGAGAAAUCCAUGAAUAAAUUAGUUAGGGAGGGUAUAGCCAGGCUAUACUGAAUUGAUUUCAGGAGAGAGAAAAGCGCCUUCCACAUUCAGAAGUGUAUGCAUCAGAUCCACCAUGAAAGUCACAAAUAUCAGUCAAAGUGAAGGGAAGUGCUUGUGUCAUUGGUGGAGAUGGGUGAAUAUUGCAAUUUUUUUUUCCUUGGCCAUCUGUCCAUUCCAAUGUUUAAGCAAAUCCAUUUUGUAUUUGUGUAACUGACUUUGAGGUCUUUUUGUCCACCUCUUGUGGCUGGCCCACGUAAGAGGUUUCUGGGUCUGUUACUGUUUAAUGGGUGUAUCCUUUUUAAGUUCAAGUGCUAGAGGCUCUUGGUUGUAAAGCUGACAGUUCAAGUUCAAACCCUGCUGUUGGCCCUAGGGGGCUAUUUGCAUUUGUGACCCUUCUGUGUUGGCUUUCUGUAAACAUUCCAGCAAGCAAAUUCCCUGGCAGGAAUAUGCAUGGAAACAGUUAGUUUUAAGCUAAAACUGGAGAGUAUUCAUGGGAAGUAAAUUUCAAAUUUGUAGUUAUGAGUAUUCAUAGGGGAAACCAUUUUUCUAAGAGUUAAAUCCAUCCAUUCAGGGACUAGAAUUAUGCCAUGUAAAAUACCCAACUGACCAAAAGAGCUGACAUUUAAACUUGCUACUAUUACUACUGACAAUAUUAAUAUUUUUUAAAAUAUCAAACUUUGUUCUUGAACAAAUAGACUGAAAUGCAUUAUGCAUUCACUGAAAUUAUUUGGUGAAUAAUCUGAAAUAGUGAAUUUGCUAAUGCAAAAAAAGGAAUGGAAUUCAUCAGAUGAAUCAUUUCUUAUGAAUUAUUCGUCCAGCUCUAGUCACCAGCAGCAAAAGGAAUUGCCAUCCAACCAUAAAUCCUAUGGGUCAUCAGCAGAUGCAUUUUCUAAGUUCUGCCCUGUGUUUGCAGGACAGGACCCAUUUACCUAACCAACUAAAUUCAUGUGUCUCCCUUUGACUUAAUGGGAUAGUUAAACUCAAUGGCUUUAGUUACAUUAGACUUCAGCUGGUGACAGUAACAGGGGGACUUUUAGCUUAGACAAGGCACAAAUAACCACCAGAAUUUUAACCAACUGUUGUCAAGAAAUGACCCAAGUUACUUUCGACAGCAGAUGGGUAAAAAUGUCAGUGGCUGAAGUUCACUCACAUUCCAGCAAUCACUAUCACUUGGAGAAGAUUUGCUUUCCCACAUAGAAAGCAAAAGUGGGAAAUUUGAGGGUUAAAGGUUUGGUAUAGACACCCUCUUUGUGUCUGAAAUUUAUUUCAGGAGUUCAUGAUAUUGUGACGUAGCAUCAAUAUGCAAUGUCACAUCAACACGGUGAUGUGGAGUCUUCAUGUAGUGUCAAUGUGUGAUGAUGUUGCAACACAACAGGAUAUCAUUGCAUCAUGAUAUGAAGACAAAAUGUUGUGGAUCAAUUAUUUUGUCCUUCAGGGGGAAAAAAAAUGCAACUAUCUGGAGUCUAGCUGAGAUACUGGGCUCAAACUGAAUGUCAGACUCCCAAAAAGAAAAGACAAAUAAACAUGGCUUGUACCAUGUUCUGUUCUCCAAGUGCAACUGGGAAAGAAACCAGCAGAUCCAUUUUAUGCAGCAAAGAUGUCAUGCUGUGAAUGGGAUAUGUGCACAUACUGUGUGCAGCAGUUUGCAUUCUGCUUUCACAAUUCAGUUUCAUCCCCUCCAUUAAGGACCUGUAGCAACCUGGUCCUGAAUAUGAGGGGUGGAAAAUUGUACUCACCCAGACUGCGGGUCUUUGUUUUGCAGGCUGGGAAAGUUAUAGAGGCUUCCAUCUCCUCUGAGAUCCCUCUCUAGAGGGAUGUGAAUCUUUAUCCAUGGCAAUAUUGAUAGGCUUUAGUGAUAUUUAUGUUCAGCACCCACUCUUUGGCCAAAAGAAGGGUCAUUAUGUUAUAAAGCUGAAGGUGACUAAUGGAGAAGAAUUAGAGAAAGUUCAGAUGGUUCCCAAAAUUUAAAGCACCUAACUUCAGAGUUUUAUAAAGUUUAAGACCAGAAAG
Molecule: long non-coding RNA, 3853 nt
Organism: Gavialis gangeticus (Gharial)
Lineage: Eukaryota; Metazoa; Chordata; Crocodylia; Gavialidae
Exons: 2
Source: RefSeq, a predicted model, not a curated record